This is a long non-coding RNA of Nyctereutes procyonoides (raccoon dog), 222 nucleotides long. RefSeq lists it as uncharacterized. Lineage: Eukaryota; Metazoa; Chordata; Mammalia; Carnivora; Canidae. The record is from RefSeq and is a predicted model, not a curated record. The transcript has 3 exons.
AAGGAGUACACAAUGAGUCUGAAACUGGGAAAGAUAAUCCCACACAAGGCAGCAAGUCCAGUUCAAGCCAUAAGAAUCCUUUAUCUCAUGCACAAUGAUGUCCUCUCUUUCAGUGGAAAUUUGUCUUCAAAGAAUUUCCAUUUUCAACAUCAUUUCCCCAUAAGUUUCCUGGCUUUCCUUUGGAGCUGUUUGCUUCCAUGCUGCUAGAUUCCUCCAAACCAG